UGCAUUGGAUUGAGAACAAUGUACAACUCUUAUCGAUAAGCCAUUGGAGGGCAAGUCUGGUGCCAGCAGCCGCGGUAAUUCCAGCUCCAAUAGCGUAUAUUAACGUUGUUGCAGUUAAAAAGCUCGUAGUUGAAGUGUGGGUGAUCGCUGUUGUGAGACUUCGGUCUCUCGAUAGUAAGUCACCCCCUUCCAGUAUCCAGUAGUGGGUAUUCACUUACUUACUAUUGUGUGUUGGUCGUUUACUGUGAGAAAAUUAGAGUGUUCAAAGCAGGCGUUUGCUUGAAUAGAUUAGCAUGGAAUAAUAAUUGAAGGCUUUCGUGUUCGAUUUGAUUGGUUUGUUCAUGGAAGCAAGGUUAAAAGGAACAGUUGGGGGUAUUCAUAUUCACUAGUUAGAGGUGAAAUUCUCGGAUUUAUGGAAGAUGAACAAGUGCGAAAG
This 436-nucleotide ribosomal RNA is filed under the name Blastocystis sp. subtype 1. Its description in RNAcentral is "SSU rRNA". It matches the Rfam family "Eukaryotic small subunit ribosomal RNA", at positions 505 to 951 of the family's 1831-position model. The record is from RNAcentral. Lineage: Eukaryota; Bigyra; Opalinata; Blastocystidae.